Molecule: ribosomal RNA, 314 nt
Filed under: uncultured Lactobacillus sp.
Lineage: Bacteria; Bacillati; Bacillota; Bacilli; Lactobacillales; Lactobacillaceae
Description: bacterial SSU rRNA
Rfam family: Bacterial small subunit ribosomal RNA
Source: RNAcentral
AAAAGGGGAUGGACCUGCGAUGCAUUAGCUAGUUGUAAGGUAACAGCUUCCAAGGCGAUGAUGCAUAGCCCGAGUUGAGAGACUGAUCGGCCACAUUGGGACUGAGACACGGCCCAAACUCCUACGGGAGGCAGCAGUAGGGAAUCUUCCACAAUGGACGCAAGUCUGAUGGAGCAACGCCGCGUGAGUGAAGAAGGUUUUCGGAUCGUAAAGCUCUGUUGUUGGUGAAGAAGGAUAGAGGUAGUAACUGGCCUUUAUUUGACGGUAAUCAACCAGAAAGUCACGGCUAACUACGUGCCAGCAGCCGCGGUAAU